CCUCACACUCACAGCGAUCCUCCUGCCUCAGCCUCCCGAGUAGCUAGAACUCCAGGCAUGAACCAUCUCACCCGGCUGGUUUCACCAGUUAAUCCCAGACAACAGGGUUUCUUCAUGAAGGAAAAGGAAGUUAAUAUUAACCUCCUACAGUUUUUAGUAGCUUAUUUCUGCCUUCAUUCCUGACUGAGCAUUCUUACCUGGAGCCCUGGGGGACAGAUACAAAUAAAAAGGGGAAAUCUUCCAGAUUUCCAGUUUUGCAAGGAUCGACACUAGAAAUCGACUGAAAGUUAUUUUUAAUUCACUCACAAGCACUUACCCCAGAUAUGUUUUGAUUCUGUAAACUGAAAGUGAACUUGCACCAAAAUAAAAUCAGCAGAGAAACGCA
Long non-coding RNA from Heterocephalus glaber (naked mole-rat), 385 nucleotides. RefSeq lists it as uncharacterized. Lineage: Eukaryota; Metazoa; Chordata; Mammalia; Rodentia; Bathyergidae. The record is from RefSeq and is a predicted model, not a curated record.